Molecule: ribosomal RNA, 2129 nt
Filed under: Escherichia coli
Lineage: Bacteria; Pseudomonadati; Pseudomonadota; Gammaproteobacteria; Enterobacterales; Enterobacteriaceae
Description: bacterial LSU rRNA
Rfam family: Bacterial large subunit ribosomal RNA
Source: RNAcentral
UUAAGCGACUAAGCGUACACGGUGGAUGCCCUGGCAGUCAGAGGCGAUGAAGGACGUGCUAAUCUGCGAUAAGCGUCGGUAAGGUGAUAUGAACCGUUAUAACCGGCGAUUUCCGAAUGGGGAAACCCAGUGUGUUUCGACACACUAUCAUUAACUGAAUCCAUAGGUUAAUGAGGCGAACCGGGGGAACUGAAACAUCUAAGUACCCCGAGGAAAAGAAAUCAACCGAGAUUCCCCCAGUAGCGGCGAGCGAACGGGGAGCAGCCCAGAGCCUGAAUCAGUGUGUGUGUUAGUGGAAGCGUCUGGAAAGGCGCGCGAUACAGGGUGACAGCCCCGUACACAAAAAUGCACAUGCUGUGAGCUCGAUGAGUAGGGCGGGACACGUGGUAUCCUGUCUGAAUAUGGGGGGACCAUCCUCCAAGGCUAAAUACUCCUGACUGACCGAUAGUGAACCAGUACCGUGAGGGAAAGGCGAAAAGAACCCCGGCGAGGGGAGUGAAAAAGAACCUGAAACCGUGUACGUACAAGCAGUGGGAGCACGCUUAGGCGUGUGACUGCGUACCUUUUGUAUAAUGGGUCAGCGACUUAUAUUCUGUAGCAAGGUUAACCGAAUAGGGGAGCCGAAGGGAAACCGAGUCUUAACUGGGCGUUAAGUUGCAGGGUAUAGACCCGAAACCCGGUGAUCUAGCCAUGGGCAGGUUGAAGGUUGGGUAACACUAACUGGAGGACCGAACCGACUAAUGUUGAAAAAUUAGCGGAUGACUUGUGGCUGGGGGUGAAAGGCCAAUCAAACCGGGAGAUAGCUGGUUCUCCCCGAAAGCUAUUUAGGUAGCGCCUCGUGAAUUCAUCUCCGGGGGUAGAGCACUGUUUCGGCAAGGGGGUCAUCCCGACUUACCAACCCGAUGCAAACUGCGAAUACCGGAGAAUGUUAUCACGGGAGACACACGGCGGGUGCUAACGUCCGUCGUGAAGAGGGAAACAACCCAGACCGCCAGCUAAGGUCCCAAAGUCAUGGUUAAGUGGGAAACGAUGUGGGAAGGCCCAGACAGCCAGGAUGUUGGCUUAGAAGCAGCCAUCAUUUAAAGAAAGCGUAAUAGCUCACUGGUCGAGUCGGCCUGCGCGGAAGAUGUAACGGGGCUAAACCAUGCACCGAAGCUGCGGCAGCGACGCUUAUGCGUUGUUGGGUAGGGGAGCGUUCUGUAAGCCUGUGAAGGUGUGCUGUGAGGCAUGCUGGAGGUAUCAGAAGUGCGAAUGCUGACAUAAGUAACGAUAAAGCGGGUGAAAAGCCCGCUCGCCGGAAGACCAAGGGUUCCUGUCCAACGUUAAUCGGGGCAGGGUGAGUCGACCCCUAAGGCGAGGCCGAAAGGCGUAGUCGAUGGGAAACAGGUUAAUAUUCCUGUACUUGGUGUUACUGCGAAGGGGGGACGGAGAAGGCUAUGUUGGCCGGGCGACGGUUGUCCCGGUUUAAGCGUGUAGGCUGGUUUUCCAGGCAAAUCCGGAAAAUCAAGGCUGAGGCGUGAUGACGAGGCACUACGGUGCUGAAGCAACAAAUGCCCUGCUUCCAGGAAAAGCCUCUAAGCAUCAGGUAACAUCAAAUCGUACCCCAAACCGACACAGGUGGUCAGGUAGAGAAUACCAAGGCGCUUGAGAGAACUCGGGUGAAGGAACUAGGCAAAAUGGUGCCGUAACUUCGGGAGAAGGCACGCUGAUAUGUAGGUGAAGCGACUUGCUCGUGGAGCUGAAAUCAGUCGAAGAUACCAGCUGGCUGCAACUGUUUAUUAAAAACACAGCACUGUGCAAACACGAAAGUGGACGUAUACGGUGUGACGCCUGCCCGGUGCCGGAAGGUUAAUUGAUGGGGUCAGCGCAAGCGAAGCUCUUGAUCGAAGCCCCGGUAAACGGCGGCCGUAACUAUAACGGUCCUAAGGUAGCGAAAUUCCUUGUCGGGUAAGUUCCGACCUGCACGAAUGGCGUAAUGAUGGCCAGGCUGUCUCCACCCGAGACUCAGUGAAAUUGAACUCGCUGUGAAGAUGCAGUGUACCCGCGGCAAGACGGAAAGACCCCGUGAACCUUUACUAUAGCUUGACACUGAACAUUGAGCCUUGAUGUGUAGGAUAGGUGGGAGGCUU